CGAUCCGACGAAGCUACUGUGCGCGACUGUCGUUGCUGCUGCGUGUGCACUUGACAACGCUGCUAUGCACGUCCGACGUCGCUGCUCGCUGCAUCUCACGACGCUGUUGCGCGCGUCCGACGACGCUGUUGCGCGUAGCCGACACCUUUGCUGCCUGUGCACUUAACGACGCUGUUGCGCGCAUCCGAUAGUGUAGUAUGGUAUCAUAUAGUACCGUGUUAUAGGGCUUGUAGCUCAGAGGAUUAGAGCACGUGGCUACGAACCACGGUGUUUGGGGUUCGAAUCCCUCCUCGCCCAC
This 298-nucleotide transfer RNA is filed under the name Helianthus annuus (common sunflower). RNAcentral describes it as "hypothetical non coding rna". The stretch from base 224 to 297 matches the Rfam family "tRNA". Lineage: Eukaryota; Viridiplantae; Streptophyta; Magnoliopsida; Asterales; Asteraceae. The record is from RNAcentral.